AGGUGGUUGAUCGCGUCGGAAGUGUAUCUUGGGGCUUAACCCUGAGCGUGCUUUCGAUACGGGUGACUGAGGGGAAGGUAGGGGAGAAUGGAAUUCCUGGUGGAGCGGUGGAAUGCGCAGAUAUCAGGAGGAACACCAGUGGCGAAGGCGGUUCUCUGGGCCUUUCCUGACGCUGAGGAGCGAAAGCGUGGGGAGCGAACAGGCUUAGAUACCCUGGUAGUCCACGCUGUAAACGGUGGGUACUAGGUGUGGGGUCCAUUCCACGGGUUCCGUGCCGUAGCUAACGCUUUAAGUACCCCGCCUGGGGAGUACGGCCGCAAGGCUAAAACUCAAAGGAAUUGACGGGGCCCCGCACAAGCGGCGGAGCAUGCGGAUUAAUUCGAUGCAACGCGUAGAACCUUACCUGGGUUUGACAUGGAUCGGGAGUGCUCAGAGAUGGGUGUGCCUCUUUUGGGGUCGGUUCACAGGUGGUGCAUGGCUGUCGUCAGCUCGUGUCGUGAGAUGUUGGGUUAAGUCCCGCAACGAGCGCAACCCUUGUUCACUGUUGCCAGCACGUUAUGGUGGGGACUCAGUGGAGACCGCCGGGGUCAACUCGGAGGAAGGUGGGGAUGACGUCAAGUCAUCAUGCCCCUUAUGUCCAGGGCUUCACGCAUGCUACAAUGGCUGGUACAGAGAGUGGCGAGCCUGUGAGGGUGAGCGAAUCUCGGAAAGCCGGUCUCAGUUCGGAUUGGGGUCUGCAACUCGACCUCAUGAAGUCGGAGUCGCUAGUAAUCGCAGAUCAGCAACGCUGCGGUGAAUACGUUCCCGGGGCUUGUACACACCGCCCGUCAAGUCAUGAAAGUUGGUAACACCCGAAGCCGGUGGCCUAACCGUUGUGGGGGAGCCGUUGAAGGUGGGACUGGUGAUUAG
This 909-nucleotide ribosomal RNA is filed under the name uncultured organism. RNAcentral describes it as "SSU rRNA". It matches the Rfam family "Bacterial small subunit ribosomal RNA", at positions 573 to 1478 of the family's 1533-position model. The record is from RNAcentral.